UGUCCUUCAUGCUUGAGUGGUGCAGUAUUCUAGUCAGAGCUGUUAAUUCUGAAGGCGGGGCUAAAAAUCCGUCAAAGGGCACAUCGAUGAAGUUCCUGGUAUGGGCUUUCGACGCCCAGUCGGGGGUCUAUGCUGGGAGUAAGGAUUUGGGGGCGAUCCACAAAGGCAUGUGGGCGUUGACCCUCUAUCCGUGGAGACCUAAAUUAUUGCAAUGAUUUAGGAUGAACCUGCAAUGUGGUAGUUCGUCUGCUACGUGCAGUGUAGCCUGCCUUGAGUGGAAUAGGUAGAUGAAUAUUUUUAAGACAUUUAUUUUAUGGGCCCAUAAAAUAAAUGCUUCCGUAUUCUAAACCUAUACUGCAAAAGAGGCUAGGAAUUAGCGUGCCUGUCGAGGAAAACUCCUAGACUGUUCCCUUAGUGGAGAUAUAUUAGGGAUUAUAGUGCAGACUUAGUGGUGAUCUAGUUUUAUAUUUGGCGACAA
This 478-nucleotide small RNA is filed under the name Maledivibacter halophilus. The record is from RNAcentral. Lineage: Bacteria; Bacillati; Bacillota; Clostridia; Peptostreptococcales; Caminicellaceae.